AAUUCCUCCAUUUCUUAAAUAAAAAGAGGAAUGACACAAAAAGGAAAAGGGAAAAGAAGUUGAAGAACUGCAUUUUGGGAGGGAAUUAAAGGGGGGAUUAUUUGACUUGAUAGUUUCUGCAAACUGUUGUUGCAAAUAUAUGCUCUUUUAUAGGCAUUUCGUUUAGGCAAGAAAUGGGAUUUCUCUAAAAAAAAAAAAUAUGAGAUAUGCAUUUUUCAGCAACUUUUUCUUGUCAAUGAAAAGUACUUCACUUGACUCAUUGAACACAUUAUGUGGAGCCAAAUAUGAAAUUUACUUUUGGGAGAAGGGUAAACUUUGUUUUUAGUAAUUUUUGUGAGUGAAUGUCACGACCCGGAUUUCCUUAUCCUCGGGAGUCGUGAUGGCGCUUACUCGUAGAAGCUAGGUAAGCCAUGAACUUAGAAAUCAUUAACUCCUUUAUUUUAAAACUUCUUACCAAUUAUAUUAACAAGGGAAUAAACAGUUAAAUAACCGCGGAAUAUGAAAUUUAGCGGAAGUCUUAAAUAAAUAGGAAACGAAAAUGUCUCACAGACCAUCACGUGCCUCUAACCAGAACCCGGUGUCACAACAUCCACGGACUAAUAAGAGUACUAAAUACAACCGUUUGAAAGAAAUAUAACACUGUUUGUCUCGAAUACAUGAGAUAACAAAAUAUAAAAUAAGAUAGAGGAGACGUCGGGCCUGCGGACGCCCGCAAGGCUACCUCGGUAUCACGGUGGACUGAAGGCUGGCUCCCAAGCUACUGCUGCUGACCAAAGGCUACUCCGUAUAUUCACAGAGUGUAGAGUGUAGUAUCAGCAAAACCGACCCCAUGUGCUGGUAAGUGCCAGCCUAACCCCGGCGAGGUAGUGAUGAGGCUAGGACCCGACUCCAGAUAAACCUGUGCAGUUAUAUAAUAUACAUCAGAAAUAUAAACAAGUAAUAAUAGUUUUAAAAGGGAGGGGAAAACAUGCUUCGGGGAAACAUAUCAAUUCUAUCAGAAACUUAAUAAAGUAUGAAAGAACACCCGAUGUCUACAAUCAAUGCAACUACAAUACUGUUGCGGCGCGCAACCCGAUCCCUUAUCAUUUAACAUUGUUGUGGCGUGCAACCCGUUCCAUAUAUAUAACUGUUACUGCGUGCAACCCAUUUCAAUAUAAUAUCUGUUGCGGCAUGCAAACCGAUCCAAUAUAAUAUAUGUUGCGGCGUGCAACCUCAUCCAAUAUAAUCUCUGUUGCGGCGUGCAACCCGAUCCAACACAAUAUCUAUUGUGGCGUGUAACCUAUUCCGAAUAUACAGUCAACAAUAAUCAUAAUUAACCAUCUCGACAAAUGAUCAACAAUAGACUACACUAUCCUGGCAAGGAAACUCAGUAGUUUUGGGAGGCAAUUUCCAAGAAUAGGUAAUUUCCAUGGACCUCGAGGCAAUCUUUUGGUUUGGCUAUUGGAAUUC
Molecule: long non-coding RNA, 1449 nt
Filed under: Nicotiana tabacum (common tobacco)
Lineage: Eukaryota; Viridiplantae; Streptophyta; Magnoliopsida; Solanales; Solanaceae
Description: long non-coding RNA (NTAB_LNC001805)
Source: RNAcentral